Carassius auratus (goldfish) is the source of this 569-nucleotide long non-coding RNA. RefSeq lists it as uncharacterized. The record is from RefSeq and is a predicted model, not a curated record. NCBI's taxonomy places the organism in Eukaryota, Metazoa, Chordata, Actinopteri, Cypriniformes, Cyprinidae. The transcript has 4 exons.
GUGCUCUCUAUCUAAUGCAGUGACGAUCACGCAGUGUGUCUCAGGUCAAGUGAAGCGACAGCAUGCAGCACACUUGAAAGAUCACGUCUUCCUCUGUUUUUAACACCAGUUACGGGCUACAGCGCCAAAUAAACAUGAAUGAAUGCCAAAGGGUCUGUAAACAGAUACAGGACAAUUUACUGACAUGAAUCCUGUCACAUGUAAUCGCUCAAUCAGUGCUUCAGCCGUACUUCAGAGACGUCACAAACAGCUCGUCAACAAGAUGUCAUGUUUCUCAUCAAAUCCAUAUUCAGGGACCAUCAACUUGGAAAGUUGGUGAAAUAAUGGCAGUGAGCAUUACUCAGGAUGGACCUUUUUCAUGAAGUGGAUUUACAAUUUCAUUUCUUCCGGGAGAUUAAUAAAGAUGAGCUGACAUAACAGAUGCAGACCUGCUAGAUCUGAUUGACAAGAUUGAGACUGCAGACACUACAGCCUUGCUUGAGCUUUCUGAAAGAAUCGUAGCAUGUGGUACACAGGAUCCUAACAUGUGAUGAAAGGAAGACAUUGUCAGAAGAAGGGAGCAGCAGUAA